This 796-nucleotide ribosomal RNA is filed under the name Cantharellus roseofagetorum. RNAcentral describes it as "eukaryotic LSU rRNA". It matches the Rfam family "Eukaryotic large subunit ribosomal RNA", at positions 103 to 919 of the family's 3401-position model. The record is from RNAcentral. Lineage: Eukaryota; Fungi; Basidiomycota; Agaricomycetes; Cantharellales; Hydnaceae.
AAGAGCUCAUCAUUGGAAUCUGGCGGUGUUGCACCGUCCGAGUUGUAGAUGAGGAGUGGUUCGUCUGGACUGCAUGGCGUCCAAGUACAAUAGGCCGUCAGUGGGACAUCAUAGAGGGUGACAAUCCCGUCCUUGAUGCCAAUGUGCAAGUCCAUUACGAUGGCCAUCUCAGAGAGUCGAGCAGUUUGGGAUUUGCUGCUUAAACAUGGGAGGUAGAUUCCUUCUAAAGCUAAAUACAGGCAAGAGACCGAUAGAGAACAAGUACCGCAAGGGAAAGAUGAAAUAGCACUCUGUGAAGGGAGUCAAAAGGCGUGAAAUUGUUGCGAGAGAAGCGAUUCAAGUCAGCGUAGCUAGGCCCAUUAAGCCUCUUUGCGCUUUGGACUAGCUUUGCCAGCGGUCUUGUCCUUAGAGACUUGACUUGUAUGUCCAGCCUGGUAUGCACAGGUAGCCCUCCGGGGUCAGUGACAUGGCUGGUGGAAUGGCUUGCAAUCGACCCGUCUUGAAACACGGACCAAGGAGUCUAACAUGUAUGCGAGUAUAAGGGUGGCAAACCCGUAUGCGCAAUGAAAGUGAUUUUCGGUGAUUGAGAAUGGCCUGAUGACCAGACAAGCAAUAUAUGUCCCUCGUACGGCCAUUGCCCAAGUUCCGUGGUAGAUCCCACGAACAUGGAGUUGGAGCAUACAUGCUAGGACCCGAAAGAUGGUGAACUAUGCCUGGACAAAGCGAAGCCAAAGGAAACUCUGGUGGAGGCUUGUAGCGAUUCUGACGUGCAAAUCGAUCGUCUGAUCUGGGUAUA